Mirounga angustirostris (Northern elephant seal) is the source of this 3796-nucleotide RNA transcript. It is a transcript of the gene named signal transducer and activator of transcription 4, with no coding region annotated. Lineage: Eukaryota; Metazoa; Chordata; Mammalia; Carnivora; Phocidae. The transcript has 24 exons. The record is from RefSeq and is a predicted model, not a curated record.
GAACUUUUGUUCCCUGCAAGCUUUCCGUUCAGCUUUGGAGGCGGAGAGUGAAAAUGGCGGCCUCCCAAUCUCUGCCCCGGAGGAGCCGAGAACUCGGGCCCGCUCCUCAGUGAGCCCCCAGAGAAAAGCCGUCAGUCACUCCCGUCUCCCCGGUCUCCAGCCGCACUCCGUGCUCACCCAGCCUGUGACCGCACGUUUCUAUCUCUGGCACCCGACCCCAGGUGGAGUCUCCAAACCCAGCCAAUCCCUGCGGUGCACUCCCGCACGGCUCCUCCCGGGGGAGGAAGCAUGUCUCAGUGGAAUCAAGUCCAACAAUUAGAAAUCAAAUUUUUGGAGCAAGUAGAUCAAUUCUACGAUGACAACUUUCCUAUGGAAAUUCGACAUCUGUUGGCUCAGUGGAUUGAAAAUCAAGACUGGGAGGCAGCUUCCAACAAUGAAACCAUGGCAACAAUUCUUCUUCAAAACUUGUUAAUACAACUGGAUGAACAGUUAGGUCGUGUUUCCAAAGAGAAAAACCUGCUCUUGAUACACAAUCUAAAAAGAAUCAGGAAAGUCCUUCAGGGAAAAUUUCAUGGAAAUCCAAUGCACGUAGCUGUGGUUAUUUCGAAUUGUUUAAGGGAAGAGAGGAGAAUAUUGGCUGCAGCCAACAUGCCCGUUCAGGGACCUCUGGAGAAAUCCUUACAAAGUUCUUCAGUCUCAGAAAGGCAGAGGAAUGUGGAGCACAAAGUGGCUGCCAUUAAAAAUAGUGUGCAGAUGACAGAACAAGACACCAAAUAUUUAGAAGACCUGCAAGAUGAAUUUGACUACAGGUAUAAAACAAUUCAGACAAUGGAUCAGGGGGACAAGAACAAUGCCCUAAUGAAUCAGGAAAUUUUGACUCUUCAAGAAAUGCUUAACAGUCUCGACUUCAAGAGAAAGGAAGCCCUCAGUAAGAUGACCCAAAUAGUAAAUGAAACGGACUUGUUAAUGAACAGCAUGCUGAUGGAAGAGCUGCAGGACUGGAAGAGGAGACAGCAGAUCGCCUGCAUCGGCGGGCCGCUCCACAAUGGGCUCGACCAGCUUCAAAACUGCUUCACACUGUUGGCAGAAAGUCUGUUUCAACUCAGAAGGCAAUUGGAGAAAUUAGAGGAACAGUCUACUAAAAUGACAUAUGAAGGAGACCCCAUCCCCAUGCAAAGAGCACAUCUGCUAGAAAGAGUCACCUUCUUGAUCUACAACCUUUUUAAGAACUCAUUUGUGGUUGAGCGACAGCCAUGCAUGCCAACCCACCCCCAGAGACCGAUGGUACUUAAAACUCUUAUUCAGUUCACUGUAAAGCUAAGACUACUAAUAAAAUUGCCAGAACUAAACUAUCAGGUAAAAGUGAAAGCAUCAAUUGACAAGAACGUUUCAACUCUAAGCAAUCGAAGAUUUGUCCUUUGUGGAACUCAUGUCAAAGCCAUGUCCAUUGAAGAAUCUUCUAACGGGAGUCUCUCGGUAGAAUUUCGACAUUUGCAACCAAAGGAAAUGAAGUCCAGUGCUGGAGGCAAAGGAAAUGAGGGCUGUCACAUGGUAACUGAAGAGCUUCAUUCUAUAACCUUUGAAACACAGAUCUGCCUCUAUGGCCUGACCAUAGAUGUGGAGACCAGCUCAUUACCUGUGGUGAUGAUUUCCAAUGUCAGUCAGUUACCUAAUGCUUGGGCAUCCAUCAUUUGGUACAAUGUGUCAACCAAUGAUUCCCAGAACUUAGUUUUCUUUAAUAAUCCUCCAUCUGCCACUUUGAGUCAACUCCUGGAAGUGAUGAGCUGGCAGUUUUCAUCCUAUGUCGGCCGUGGCCUUAACUCAGAUCAACUCAAUAUGUUAGCAGAGAAGCUUACAGUCCAGUCUAGCUACAGUGAUGGUCAUCUCACCUGGGCCAAGUUCUGCAAGGAACACUUACCUGGUAAAUCAUUUACCUUUUGGACUUGGCUUGAAGCAAUAUUGGAUCUAAUUAAGAAACACAUUCUUCCUCUUUGGAUAGAUGGGUAUGUCAUGGGCUUUGUUAGCAAAGAGAAGGAGCGCCUCUUGCUAAAGGAUAAAAUGCCUGGAACCUUUUUGUUAAGAUUCAGUGAAAGCCACCUUGGAGGAAUAACUUUCACCUGGGUAGACCAUUCUGAAAAUGGAGAAGUGAGAUUCCACUCUGUAGAACCCUACAAUAAAGGUCGGUUGUCUGCUCUGCCGUUCGCUGACAUCCUUCGAGACUAUAAGGUUAUUAUGGCUGAAAACAUUCCCGAAAACCCUCUGAAGUACCUUUAUCCUGACAUUCCCAAAGACAAAGCCUUCGGUAAACACUACAGCUCCCAGCCCUGCGAAGUUUCAAGACCAACAGAAAGGGGGGACAAAGGUUAUGUUCCAUCUGUUUUUAUACCCAUUUCAACAAUCCGAAGUGAUUCAACUGAGCCACAAUCUCCAUCAGAUCUUCUUCCCAUGUCUCCAAGCGUAUAUGCGGUGCUGAGAGAAAACCUGAGUCCCACAACAAUUGAAACUGCAGUAUGUUCCCUUUCUUUUCCAUUGCUGGUCAAGGGCACUCCUAAUGAAGCAAAUGUGGCACCUGUUAAUCAAAGGGGCUGAAGUUCUGCCUGAGAAGUGAGAAAACACUUUUGUUGGACCAAAUCCAUGAGCAUCACACUGGAUGAAGUCUCCAUAUUCUGCUGAAUGACAAGAUAAAUUCUUGACACUCAAAAGAAGGAAGCAAAUGAAAAAGCUUAAAGACUGAUCUUUGCCAACAAUCCUAUCUUAUUUCUUCAGCUUUGUAUAUACCAGUUUCCAGGAAAUGGUUGAAGUCUGAAGCUCUCCUCUCACUCGCCUGACACCACCAAUUGGGAAUGUCCUGACUGAAAUGUUAAAAACCAAAGCUUCAGAUAAACUUACAAGAUAAGACACUUUAAGAAACCAGUGUUAAUAUAACAUUAACAAAAGACCCUUUUGUCUUUGUUUCAUUUUUUAUUUUGUUUCUCACAUGUUACUUAUGAUUUGGGCUCUAGAAGGAUUAAGUGUUAAGAUUUCAGAAUAGGUUACGAAUGACAUAGUCACACCUACAUCACUCAAAGGCCAGCAAGAAGACCUUAGAGAAAAGCCAAAUAAGCUUAUGUCCUGAGUUCUAGAAGGUAAAAGCCAUCACCCUAGAUACCAGAUAGAUCCCUCUGGAGGACCCCUCUCUAACUUCUUCCACCCCUCUUCUGUCCCUGAGGCAAGCCAUACAGAGAGAAGUUAAUGUUUAAUGGAAAAGAUUUCAAAGAGAAAAAGGUUUUAAUAUAACCUUCUUUCUCAGAGAGAUUCCAUCUUACCAAUCGCAUCCUUUAUACCCAUUCACAUGUGCCCAACUGGAUCCUAUAUUGUUCUUCCAACUCUGUACUUAUACCAAGGCCAGUUCACUUAUUCCUGAUAGUACUCUUUUUUUCAGAUUUUAUUUAUUUGAGAGAGAGAGCAAGACGGAGAGGGAGAAGCAGACCCCCCACUGAGCAGAGAGCCCGACGUGGGGCUCAAUGUCAGGACCCUGAGAUCAUGACCUGAGCCGAAGGCAAGCACUUCACCGACGGAGUCACCCAGGCACCCCUUCCCGUGUCUGUUGGAUGGAGGACCACCAGGCUAACUUGAGGGGCAGUCUCCCAGUCUCUCCUCCACAUGCCCAAUUUUCUGCAAUUCAAAUAUAUCAAUUGGCAACAAAAGUAGAGGAAAUAAUCAUAAACCUGGUUUAAAGUUAUAUCUUGAUUGAUAUUUUGAAUUAUAAAAUUAUUAUUAUUGUUUUAUCUUUAAAGAGGUAAUCUACUAUCAGGAA